Molecule: ribosomal RNA, 497 nt
Filed under: uncultured bacterium
Lineage: Bacteria
Description: partial 16S ribosomal RNA
Rfam family: Bacterial small subunit ribosomal RNA
Source: RNAcentral
GAUGAACGCUGGCGGCGUGCCUAAUACAUGCAAGUCGAGCGAACAGAUGAGGAGCUUGCUCCUCUGACGUUAUCGGCGGACGGGUGAGUAACACGUGGAUAACCUACCUAUAAGACUGGGAUAACUUCGGGAAACCGGAGCUAAUACCGGAUAAUAUAUUGAACCGCAUGGUUCAAUAGUGAAAGACGGUUUUGCUGUCACUUAUAGAUGGAUCCGCGCCGCAUUAGCUAGUUGGUAAGGUAACGGCUUACCAAGGCAACGAUGCGUAGCCGACCUGAGAGGGUGAUCGGCCACACUGGAACUGAGACACGGUCCAGACUCCGACGGGAGGCCGCAGUAGGGAAUCUUCCGCGAUGGGCGAAAGCCUGACGGAGCAACGCCGCGUGAGUGAUGAAGGUCUUCGGAUCGUAAAACUCUGUUAUUAGGGAAGAACAAAUGUGUAAGUAACUAUGCACGUCUUGACGGCACCUAAUCAGAAAGCCACGGCUAACUACGUG